This 306-nucleotide ribosomal RNA is filed under the name Haemaphysalis longicornis (longhorned tick). RNAcentral describes it as "partial 12S ribosomal RNA". The record is from RNAcentral. Lineage: Eukaryota; Metazoa; Arthropoda; Arachnida; Ixodida; Ixodidae.
UUAACUAGGAUUAGAUACCCUAUUAUUAAGAAAAAUUAUAUUGUUAGUAUAUAAAUUGUAUGAAAACAAAAAAUUAUGGCGGUAUUUUAAGCUUUUCAGAGGAAUUUGCUCUUUAAUGGAUAAAACACCUAAAUCUUACUAAAUUUAGUUAAGCAGUUUGUAUACCACUAUUUAAGUAAUAAUUUGCUAUUAUUACUAAAAUUUAUAUUAAUUAAAAAAAGUUAAGUCAAGGUGCAGCAUAAAUUUUAGUAUGAAGUGAAUUACAUUUCUUUUAAGAAAAAUUUGUUGAAAAUAAAAUUUAGGAUU